UUAAAUGGCCGCAGUAUUUUGACUGUGCAAAGGUAGCAUAAUCAUUAGUUUCUUAAUUAGAAGCUGGAAUGAAGGGUUGAACGAAAAAAUAACUGUCUCUUUAUAAAUUUAUUAGAAUUUUAUUUUUAAGUUAAAAAGCUUAAAUAAGUUUAAAAGACGAGAAGACCCUAUAGAGUUUUAUAUAAUUUUUUAUAAUUAGUUUAUUUAUAAUUAUUAAUAUUUUAUAAAUAAUUAUAUUUAGUUGGGGUGAUUGAAAAAUUUAAUUAACUUUUUUUUUUAAAAACAUUUUUAUAUGAUUAAUUGAUCCAUUAUUUAUGAUUAAAAGAUUAAAUUACCUUAGGGAUAACAGCGUUAUUUCUUUUUAGAGUUCAAAUCGAUAAAGAAGUUUGCGACCUCGAUGUUGGAUUAAAAUAUAUUUUUGGUGUAGAAGCUAAAAUAUUAGGUCUGUUCGACCUUUAAAAUUUUACAUGAUCUGAGUUUAAACCGGUGUAAGCCAGGUUGGUUUCUAUCUUUAAAUAAUAAAUAUAUUUUAGUACGAAAGGACCAAGUAUUUAAAAAAUUUUUUUAGUAUUGAAUAAUAUUAAUAU
This 587-nucleotide ribosomal RNA is filed under the name Devia prospera. RNAcentral's name for it is "partial 16S ribosomal RNA". The stretch from base 342 to 500 matches the Rfam family "Bacterial large subunit ribosomal RNA", at positions 2473 to 2632 of the family's 2925-position model. The record is from RNAcentral. Lineage: Eukaryota; Metazoa; Arthropoda; Insecta; Coleoptera; Staphylinidae.